This 269-nucleotide ribosomal RNA is filed under the name uncultured Bifidobacterium sp. RNAcentral describes it as "partial 16S ribosomal RNA". It matches the Rfam family "Bacterial small subunit ribosomal RNA", at positions 69 to 339 of the family's 1533-position model. The record is from RNAcentral. Lineage: Bacteria; Bacillati; Actinomycetota; Actinomycetes; Bifidobacteriales; Bifidobacteriaceae.
UCCAUCGGGCUUUGCCUGGUGGUGAGAGUGGCGAACGGGUGAGUAAUGCGUGACCGACCUGCCCCAUGCACCGGAAUAGCUCCUGGAAACGGGUGGUAAUGCCGGAUGCUCCAUCACACCGCAUGGUGUGUUGGGAAAGCCUUUGCGGCAUGGGAUGGGGUCGCGUCCUAUCAGCUUGAUGGCGGGGUAACGGCCCACCAUGGCUUCGACGGGUAGCCGGCCUGAGAGGGCGACCGGCCACAUUGGGACUGAGAUACGGCCCAGACUCC